RNAcentral lists this ribosomal RNA (257 nucleotides) under uncultured bacterium. RNAcentral describes it as "partial 16S ribosomal RNA". It matches the Rfam family "Bacterial small subunit ribosomal RNA", at positions 334 to 608 of the family's 1533-position model. The record is from RNAcentral.
UAUCCCUACGGGACGCAGCAGUGGGGAAUAUUGCACAAUGGGGGAAACCCUGAUGCAGCGACGCCGCGUGAGUGAAGAAGUAUUUCGGUAUGUAAAGCUCUAUCAGCAGGGAAGAAAAUGACGGUACCUGACUAAGAAGCCCCGGCUAACUACGUGCCAGCAGCCGCGGUAAUACGUAGGGGGCAAGCGUUAUCCGGAUUUACUUGGUGUAAAGGGAGCGUAGACGGUAGAGCAAGUCUGAAGUGAAAGCCCGCGGC